GUUUCAAAAAGAAUAAUAAUUUUUUUUAUUUUAUUUUUAUAAAUCUCUGAAACAUGUUAAAACAAGAAUGGCCAAAAGACUCUUUAAUUGGUCCAGGAUCUUAAUUUAAUAGAAGAACCUGCAUCAUGAUUUUUCAAAAUUGUUUAUUUAUUUGAAUUUUUUACAUUUAUUUUAUUUGUCUAUUUUUACCAUUUAAUUUUGUUAUACUGUGCAUGUGCUCUAUUUUCUAAAAACCUUUGUUAACAUGUACUGCCUUAUUGUGUUGUUUUUAUUGAAUUAAAUCAAUCAAUCAAUCAAUCAAUCAAUGGAUACAUAAAUUGUAGCCGGAGUUCAUUUUUUUGAAGCUGAGAGGCUCCAGAAUACAUGACGUCAUUUCCAGUAAGGGAACAUAGUAAGCAUCGAUACUCCCUGGUUUUUGUUGUGCAUUGUGGGAUUUUUAGGGAGCGAAUGUUCCAGUGCACUGGAAGAAUUUUGCGAUUGAGACACAGCUUAAAAUGGCCGACUCCCUGAUCAGUGUCCUGAACUACUGAACUAGGGAGCUGGUUGAGAAAAAGAGUGAAGAGGAUGAAUUGAAAGCUUCCCGUCGUCAUCAAUAACGUCAUUACAGGAAACCAAUACACGCUUGUUUGCGGAAGUUGAUGUGAAAGAGCGCUUCCUUCUCCGCACGCGCUUCAGAUCUCUGAUACUCUGCGUAACAUCACUAAAGUGUCCUGAUUCUUUACACCUCUUAUAAUGAAAUCAGAGUCCAGACGCCGCUCUUUAGGAAAAUCUCCACAGACUCCUGCUGCUACUGGCUCAAAGAUGUACCACUGCUCAGAUUGUGGGAAGAGUUUUAGUAAAAGUCGUCAUCAUCUUAAAAAUCACGAGCAUGUUCACAUAGGAGAGAAGCCGUAUGAUUGCUCCCAGUGUGGGAAGUUUUACUUGUCAGAGUAAUCUCCGACAACAUGAGCGCAUUCACACAGGUGUAAGGCCGUAUCUCUGUGAACAGUGUGGAAAGGGUUUUAUUUAUCUUCAACAACACCAGCGCAUUCACACAGAAGAGAAGUAUCACUGUGGACAGCGCAGGAAGAGUUUUACUUGUCAGAGUAAUCUCCAACGACACGAGCGCAUUCACACAGGACAGAAGCCGUAUCACUGUGGACAGUGUGGGAAGAGUUUUAGACAAGAGAUUCGUCUUCGGAUAUACCAGCGCAUUCACACAGGACAGAUGCCGUACCUCUGCGGACAAUGUGGGCGGAGCUAUACUCAUUCAAGUUCAUUAAGGACACACAAGUGCUCUGACAUAAAGCCACCAGCUCUUGAUAUGUGAAUUUCUUAAAUUUAGAUACAUCUUUUUAAUUUUCCUCUUUUUUUGCAGGAGGUUAAGGGAAAUUCUGGCAUAAAACCUCUCUUGCAAGGGACUUUAUUGCUUACUCUCCACUUUGUAGUAGAAUUCAUGUAAUUUUCCUGGUUUCACCUGAAUGCUGUACACCAAGAAUGCAAUACAACAAUACAUAUUAAACCAAUCACUAUCCCUA
Long non-coding RNA from Ictalurus punctatus (channel catfish), 1517 nucleotides. RefSeq lists it as uncharacterized. Lineage: Eukaryota; Metazoa; Chordata; Actinopteri; Siluriformes; Ictaluridae. The transcript has 3 exons. The record is from RefSeq and is a predicted model, not a curated record.